Long non-coding RNA from Sparus aurata (gilthead seabream), 2077 nucleotides. NCBI's taxonomy places the organism in Eukaryota, Metazoa, Chordata, Actinopteri, Spariformes, Sparidae. The record is from Ensembl.
CCUUGUGUUCCCCACAAAGCUCCUGGACCCGUUUCAAACCUGACUUUGGUCCCAGAGAGUGACUACAUCAUCGCCACCUGGAACUUCCCAGCGGGCACCGUUCCCACUUUCAAGAUAACGCUCCAGCUGGAUGGUGAAGUUGUACAAACACACAAACAACAGGAAUCUGAGAAGACCUUCACUGGACUGAAGAAUGCAGCCAAUUACACAGUGACCGUCCGCAUCACCAGUGGAGAGCUGGAAAGCCCGGCAGUGAGCAAGUCCACUUACACCAAGCCGGCGUCGCCUAGAAAUCUCAGAGUCGCCUUCUCCAAUCAAAGUCAAAUCACCCUCAAAUGGGAUGCCCCCGACAACGCAGCAGCAGGAGUCAACUACUCCGUCAAGCUCAGCUCCCGCUUCUGGGGCCACUACUUUUCUGAAAAUGUGAAGAAUUUAAACCACACGUUUGAUGCGUUAAAAUCUGGGAGCAGGUACGAAGCUGAGGUGCAAACAGUGGUGGGCAACACGUCAAGUUCUGCGGAAAAGGCUGUGUCCAUACACAGGUGAGGCUUUUUUUAUUAGACUGGCAAAGACUUACAGCACUCUUGAGAAAAGGCCUAUUGGCGCAUCCAAGGAGACUGCAGCGUGUCGGGGUUUGAGAGGCUGCUGUUCAAAAAGCGUUUCCAAGCUGUGUUCUUGAAAAAAAAAAAAAUCCAAUCCAGAAGACAAACGAUGAACAAUUAUUCAUCGUUAAUAAUUAUUUCUAACACAGCCCAAGAAGCACAAGCAGACAAAAAGAUGCAUCUUUGCCUUUUGGCUCUGCUCCAUUUUGUGUCUAACAGGUCAUUUAUUCAUUCGUUGGACACCUUUGGUGACCGAUUUCAUCCUGUUAAACAUGAGGAAAUCCAUCUCCAGCGACCGGCAGCGAGUCGUGCCGCACUUGACUGCACCUUAUGUCUUUGCCGGCUCUCUCCAGUGGCCACAAAAAGAAAGAAGUGAAUGACUGAGACCAUUCCAAGGCAGAACUCUUGUAAUUGAUAAUGACAAUCAGGAAGAAACAGGAGAAAAUAACACGCACAACGUUUGAUUCAGGCGAUCAAAUAGAUAAAAGGAAGUCCAGAGGCCGUGUGUGCGUCAGCGGUUACUGAGGAAACGAAACAGCCCGCAUUAUGUCCCAGCACAUGUUAAUAUUUUACAGCGUGAACAAGCUUCCUCAUUCUGGCCUCCUCUUAACACUUUUUUUUCCCCACAGAUGCAAAUAAAAUUGAAAUCAGCCUGGCUAUGUUGUGCUCUUCGAAAGAAGCCCUCCUCUGUGACAAGGCCACCACGAGGGACCGUGUGUUUGAGCAGGUAAUGCACAAAGACAGAGAGGCUGCGGAGGGGAAACUUCAGCAAGAUUGUGUUUUGUGCACCAAUUAGUCCACAGUAAAGGGACAUGUGCAGUUAUUACUUUUCAUGGUUUGUGUUCCAUGUUUUUAAAACUUUAUGUCUAUUGACAUCUUUCUUUAUUUUCAUGUGUUUUGUCACAGCUGCAAAAACAUUUCCACAACAAGCUGCAGAACUUUGUUCUCUGGGAACUUAAGAAGCCAAACUAAGCGACACCAGACACAUCAUGUUUUUACUUUUUUUGAUUUUACUUUGGUGUUUUGUGAUUUUAAAUAGAGUGAUGGGAUCUGAUAAUGUAAAUGUAGACUAUACUUACACUAGAAUAUAAUUUUAAUCUGUGCUGCUUACUCUUUUUAAAAGAGUGAAUUUUGUAAAAAGGUUUUCCUUGAUUUUGUUUGCCAUGUAUGGCCCAUUCCCUCCAGGAAGAGAAAAGAGGAAAGAGAAAUAGAAAGUUUAGUCAUGGAACAAUGAAAUAUAGUCAUGGAUUAUGAAUUAUGAGAAACAAAAACAGAGUAAGUUAGGAGAUCUACAAGAAAGAAAGUAAAAAGUUACAGUUUGCAUUUUGGUUUUUAAUGUUGAACUUUGUAUUUAUUUUGUAAACUGGCUUCCAGAUAUGUGUCUGAUGAUGAAACUAAAUAAAAACAAAACAACAUGUGAAAAUAAUCUUGUAUUCCUUCUGACUAUACACCACAGCGAGCUUCUUGGCAGUUAU